GGGUAGGUACCGAAGCGGUCAAACGGGGCAGACUGUAAAUCUGCUGGCUUUCGCCUUCUCAGGUUCGAAUCCUGACCUACCCACCA
RNAcentral lists this transfer RNA (86 nucleotides) under Patescibacteria group bacterium. Its description in RNAcentral is "tRNA-Tyr". It matches the Rfam family "tRNA". From Rfam's summary of the family: Transfer RNA (tRNA) molecules are approximately 80 nucleotides in length. Their secondary structure includes four short double-helical elements and three loops (D, anti-codon, and T loops). Further hydrogen bonds mediate the characteristic L-shaped molecular structure. tRNAs have two regions of fundamental functional importance: the anti-codon, which is responsible for specific mRNA codon recognition, and the 3' end, to which the tRNAs corresponding amino acid is attached (by aminoacyl-tRNA synthetases). tRNAs cope with the degeneracy of the genetic code in two manners: having more than one tRNA (with a specific anti-codon) for a particular amino acid; and 'wobble' base-pairing, i.e. permitting non-standard base-pairing at the 3rd anti-codon position. The record is from RNAcentral.